UACGACAACUUAUGAAGCUCGGGAACGAAAAUGGGCUCUAAAAAUGAAUCGGGUCGCACGAAACGGGCUUGUGGGCCUGGGGCCCAAGCCCACUUGAAAGACCUAGUAUAUAAGCACCUUUUCUCACUCUUGGUCAAUUGGAAACCCUAAAUAAGUCAGCGCACACCACAACUCUCCCCUGAUCCCCUUUUCUUCAGCAUAUACUCUAAACAUCACCACAAACACCUUAUAUCCUCCAUUAUGUCAAAAUCCUAGCCAUAUCCCUUGCAUUUCCUCUGCAGAUUGUCAACCAAAUAAAUAAAAGAAAACAAACAAACAAACUCCAUACACUAAUAUCUCCACCCUCUCGGCUCUCUCUCUGACGACGAAGACAAAAGAGGCCGGCUGACCACCACCCUAGGUGGCGGUGCUCGGCGGCUGGGGCGGCAGACGAUAGUCAGCAACACAACACCCCCCCCCCCACACACACACACUUGUUUACCUUCUCUAAUUGAAACGGUUGACCACCACCAUCGUCUGGUGGCGGUGUGGCGACGAGGUGAAAGGGAGAUGGAGAGAGAGACGAUGGGAUAAGAGAGAGCGAGGAGAGAGAGAAGGUGGAGGGUUGAUGACGGUGGUAGGAAGCCGGCGUCGAGUCGAUUUUCGAUGACCGGCAACGGUGGUUCUGUUGUCCGACGGGUUCCGUGACGAUGAUGAUUUAUUGAUGUUGAAGGUGUAAAGAUCUGCAGUUGAUAAUGAUGUUUUGAUCGGUCACAAGGCAGCGGGUUUCUUUUCUCAUAUUCAGCUUUGGAUUCAUGUUCCAGGUUCUGUGACGGUUCGAGUUUUGGUUCAGAUCUGGCUCAGAUUCGUGUUGGGUUCUUGGUUUGAGCAGGGUUAUAAUAUUCCAGAUCCAUGAUACGGCUCGGUUCAUACUGUCAGUUUGGUUUGGGUCUCAGUCUCGGUUCGGUCGACUCGGGUCAAACCGGGUCGACUCAGUCAACGCUGGUCAACAGAAGUCAACACAGUCAAAGCCAGUCAAGACGGAUAACAGCAACCUCGGUCCGAGUCAGCUCAGUUUGGUGCGGGUCAAUGUCGAAUGUAGUUCAGUCAACUUGGUCAGAUUAGGGAGCGGUUCGGUUGACUCGGUCAAACCGAGUCAACUCGGUCAAACUCCGGUCAAAUGAGUCGCCACGAGGCUCGGUAAAGCUUAAACAUAGCAAAUUAUUAGUAUGUUAUUUUUAGAUUUUAUUAGUCUACGCGAACCGAGCUCGACCCGACUAACUAACGGUUUUACAUUAGUGAUUUGGUUUCGUAAUUGACGUUUUGAUAUACUUGGCGUAAACUUUAUAUAUAAUGGUUGUGAAACAUUGUUGAA
Helianthus annuus (common sunflower) is the source of this 1354-nucleotide long non-coding RNA. RefSeq lists it as uncharacterized. NCBI's taxonomy places the organism in Eukaryota, Viridiplantae, Streptophyta, Magnoliopsida, Asterales, Asteraceae. The record is from RefSeq and is a predicted model, not a curated record. The transcript has 2 exons.